GCUUCCCAGAAGAGCCUUCCCCUCCUUUGUUUGGGGCACUUGCCUAUCGUUUUGCCAUAGCUUGCUCUUCCUGGGUUGCAAUUCUCUGCCAUUCCCCCCCCCCUCCCCAAAACUCACUUUUGCAAGCGAGGUAACUGGCUAUUUUAUUUUUUAAAGUUAGCGUUACUCGGUGAUUGGAAGUGGGAUCCAGAAAAGACCCUCAACGACUCUGAGGCUGGCGAGCAAACAGCUUUUGGUUAUUACGAACAAAGCGGUGUGAGAGUCCCGGUUGGUACAACUGGAAGAAGGGGUACGCUUCUUCACCAACACUUGAUAUGGAGAGGAGAACUCAUACCAGGUUUCAUCCAUUCAUUCAAGACAUUUAUGGACACCCAUCAUGGCAUGCACUCUACGAGGUACUUGUAUACAUUUUAUAUAUUUUAUACAUUUUCUUAUUUAGUCGCAACAACUGUGUACUUGGGAAAAAGAAACUAUUUAGAGAAGUUAAAACUCGUCAACUCCUUACUGUUAGUUAAGAGGUGUAGCCCUCUGGGAAUCUGUAAUCUAGUGGGGUAGGCAGGGAUCAAACUAAAAAAAGGUAAGUGCCAUCAUAGACCUCUACUGGCCCCGUGUGGCUCCUUGAGGAAGCCCUGAGAAGGGCUUUAGAACUUUUGACAGGUAAGUAUUGGUCUGUGAGAAGGCGUGGAGGCAGAAGAGAAAUUCAAAAUAGAGGAGAAAAGUUCCACUGAGGCACAAUGGCCGAGAAUACCUGGUGUGGUCAUGGAAUGGCAAGCGUUGCUGUAAUGGGGGAGGGGGCAGGGGGAAGGGACAGAAUGUUCGCAUUAGACAGGCUUGGAGGCAAGAUGACAUAUUGUUGCCAGGUGAGCUGGGGAGAUGUCUGGGCCCUGAAGCUCCCUCCUGCCCAUCCUGUCUCCCCUUAGUCUCAUCACAAGAAAAGAAUUCAAGGAGGACCAGACAUCGGUUGAGCAGU
Molecule: long non-coding RNA, 970 nt
Organism: Felis catus (domestic cat)
Lineage: Eukaryota; Metazoa; Chordata; Mammalia; Carnivora; Felidae
Exons: 3
Source: RefSeq, a predicted model, not a curated record